UACGUAGGGGGCAAGCGUUGUCCGGAAUCAUUGGGCGUAAAGCGCGUGUAGGCGGUCCGGUAAGUCCGCUGUCAAAGUCGGGGGCUCAACCCUCGGAUGCCGGUGGAUACUGUCGGGCUUGAGUACGGAAGAGGCGAGUGGAAUUCCUGGUGUAGCGGUGAAAUGCGCAGAUAUCAGGAGGAACACCAAUUGCGAAGGCAGCUCGCUGGGACGUUACUGACGCUGAGACGCGAAAGCGUGGGGAGCAAACAGG
RNAcentral lists this ribosomal RNA (253 nucleotides) under uncultured bacterium. RNAcentral's name for it is "partial 16S ribosomal RNA". It matches the Rfam family "Bacterial small subunit ribosomal RNA", at positions 524 to 776 of the family's 1533-position model. The record is from RNAcentral.